This 298-nucleotide long non-coding RNA is filed under the name Nicotiana benthamiana. RNAcentral describes it as "long non-coding RNA (NBEN_LNC017108)". Lineage: Eukaryota; Viridiplantae; Streptophyta; Magnoliopsida; Solanales; Solanaceae. The record is from RNAcentral.
GUGAGCGCCUAGCGCGAAAGGUUGCUUUACUAAGUAAGAUAAGGCAAGAAGCAAGGGCGCAGCAGCUGCACGAAGUUGCUUCUUAGCGCAUCCGUUUUCUUGCUCGUUAGCGCUUGACUAAUAAGAUAGAAAGAGCCUUUCUUGCUUGUUUAGUAAAGUCUCGCUUUUUGAUAGGAGUAGGUGCUUGCUAGGGCAGGGCACUUUUCAUUCUUCAUUCGAAACUAACAAGUGUCGGGUCGGGGAUUUCUGCCUUGUUAUCAAAAAGGGAGUUGGGUAAAGCAAACUCUCUCCUUGGAGG